Long non-coding RNA from Oncorhynchus gorbuscha (pink salmon), 803 nucleotides. RefSeq lists it as uncharacterized. The transcript is spliced from 3 exons. NCBI's taxonomy places the organism in Eukaryota, Metazoa, Chordata, Actinopteri, Salmoniformes, Salmonidae. The record is from RefSeq and is a predicted model, not a curated record.
CCAUCCUGAACUCUGCUUCCCCCAGGAGACUGUUCUUCCUUUGGCUCUUACACCAUCCUGGACUCUGCUUCCCCCAGGAGACUGUUCUUCAUUUGGCUCUUACACCAUCCUGGACUCUGCUUCCCCCAGGAGACUGUUCUUCCUUUGGCUCUUACACCAUCCUGGACUCUGCUUCCCCCAGGAGACUGUUCUUCCUUUGGCUCUCACACCAUACUGGACUCUGCUUCCCACCUGAUCCUCCCCCAGGAGACUGUGCAGGCGAUGUGAGGAAUAGUUACUGUUUGGAGACGGAGGGAUUAGAGAGAUGUCUGCAACACAUUGAGGAUGCAGUAUUCAAACCCUGGCCACUGACAGACAUCCGAGUGUGAGGGUGACCUUGAGGGACUCACCUGCUGAUAUCUGGCAGGAAUGAGUAUGACCUGUGACCUGGUGGUCGUCGGGAAGCCAGAGGACCAUCCCAGCAGACUCUCCUGACUGCCCAAAGAGAGAGAGUGCCCAUCACUUUGGGGCGGUGGGCUGGUGUUCCGAAAAUGGAUAAGGAGCCAUUCAACAGCGAAUUCAAAGAUGCACACAUCUAUAAAGACAUAAAUGUACAGUGCCUUGCAAAAGUAUUCAUCCCACUUGGCAUUUUUCCUAUUUUGUUGCAUUACAACCUGUAAUUUAAAUGGAUUUUUAUUUCGAUUUCAUGUAACACAAAAUAGUCCAUAUUGGUGAAUUUCAAUGAAAAUAAUGACUUGUUUCAAAAAAUUCCUAAAAAUAAAAAACGGAAAAGUGGUGCAUGCAUAUGUGUUCACCCCCUUUAC